UACGGGGGGGGCAAGCGUUGUUCGGAAUUACUGGGCGUAAAGGGCUCGUAGGCGGCCAACUAAGUCAUACGUGAAAUCCCUCGGCUUAACCGGGGAACUGCGUCUGAUACUGGAUGGCUUGAGAUUGGGAGAGGGAUGCGGAAUUCCAGGUGUAGCGGUGAAAUGCGUAGAUAUCUGGAGGAACACCGGUGGCGAAGGCGGCAUCCUGGACCAACACUGACGCUGAUGAGCGAAAGCCAGGGGAGCAAACGGG
This 253-nucleotide ribosomal RNA is filed under the name uncultured bacterium. RNAcentral describes it as "partial 16S ribosomal RNA". It matches the Rfam family "Bacterial small subunit ribosomal RNA", at positions 524 to 776 of the family's 1533-position model. The record is from RNAcentral.